RNAcentral lists this transfer RNA (48 nucleotides) under Lygodactylus heterurus. RNAcentral describes it as "tRNA-Cys". The record is from RNAcentral. Lineage: Eukaryota; Metazoa; Chordata; Lepidosauria; Squamata; Gekkonidae.
GGCGAGGCAAAGUGCAAAUUUGCAGAAGCACCAGAAGGUGCCCCGGCU